CCUACGGGAGGCAGCAGUGGGGAAUAUUGCACAAUGGGGGAAACCCUGAUGCAGCGACGCCGCGUGAGUGCAGAAGUAUCUCGGUACGUAAAGCUCUAUCAGCAGGAAAGAAAAUGACGGUACCUGACUAAGAAGCCCCGGAUAACUACGUGCCAGCAGCCGCGGUAAUACGUAGGGGGCAAGUGUUCGCCGGAUGUACUGGGUGUAAAGGGAGCGUAGACGGGGCUGCAAGGCCGGAGUGAAAGCCCAUGGCUUAACCAUGGUACUGCGCUGGAAACUGUAGAGCUUGAGUGCGGGAGGGGCAGGCGGAAUUCCUAGUGUAGCGGUGAAAUGCGUAGAUAUUAGGAGGAACACCGGCGGCGAAGGCGGCCUGCUGGACCGUAACUGACGUUGAGGCUCGAAAGCGUGGGGAGCAAACAGGAUUAGAUACCCUUGUAGUC
RNAcentral lists this ribosomal RNA (440 nucleotides) under uncultured bacterium. Its description in RNAcentral is "partial 16S ribosomal RNA". It matches the Rfam family "Bacterial small subunit ribosomal RNA", at positions 338 to 795 of the family's 1533-position model. The record is from RNAcentral.